This 1414-nucleotide ribosomal RNA is filed under the name Klebsiella sp. TMT3-40. RNAcentral describes it as "bacterial SSU rRNA". It matches the Rfam family "Bacterial small subunit ribosomal RNA". The record is from RNAcentral. Lineage: Bacteria; Pseudomonadati; Pseudomonadota; Gammaproteobacteria; Enterobacterales; Enterobacteriaceae.
UACCAUGCAAGUCGAGCGGUAGCACAGAGAGCUUGCUCUCGGGUGACGAGCGGCGGACGGGUGAGUAAUGUCUGGGAAACUGCCUGAUGGAGGGGGAUAACUACUGGAAACGGUAGCUAAUACCGCAUAACGUCGCAAGACCAAAGUGGGGGACCUUCGGGCCUCAUGCCAUCAGAUGUGCCCAGAUGGGAUUAGCUAGUAGGUGGGGUAACGGCUCACCUAGGCGACGAUCCCUAGCUGGUCUGAGAGGAUGACCAGCCACACUGGAACUGAGACACGGUCCAGACUCCUACGGGAGGCAGCAGUGGGGAAUAUUGCACAAUGGGCGCAAGCCUGAUGCAGCCAUGCCGCGUGUGUGAAGAAGGCCUUCGGGUUGUAAAGCACUUUCAGCGGGGAGGAAGGCGUUAAGGUUAAUAACCUUGUCGAUUGACGUUACCCGCAGAAGAAGCACCGGCUAACUCCGUGCCAGCAGCCGCGGUAAUACGGAGGGUGCAAGCGUUAAUCGGAAUUACUGGGCGUAAAGCGCACGCAGGCGGUCUGUCAAGUCGGAUGUGAAAUCCCCGGGCUCAACCUGGGAACUGCAUUCGAAACUGGCAGGCUAGAGUCUUGUAGAGGGGGGUAGAAUUCCAGGUGUAGCGGUGAAAUGCGUAGAGAUCUGGAGGAAUACCGGUGGCGAAGGCGGCCCCCUGGACAAAGACUGACGCUCAGGUGCGAAAGCGUGGGGAGCAAACAGGAUUAGAUACCCUGGUAGUCCACGCCGUAAACGAUGUCGAUUUGGAGGUUGUGCCCUUGAGGCGUGGCUUCCGGAGCUAACGCGUUAAAUCGACCGCCUGGGGAGUACGGCCGCAAGGUUAAAACUCAAAUGAAUUGACGGGGGCCCGCACAAGCGGUGGAGCAUGUGGUUUAAUUCGAUGCAACGCGAAGAACCUUACCUGGUCUUGACAUCCACAGAACUUUCCAGAGAUGGAUUGGUGCCUUCGGGAACUGUGAGACAGGUGCUGCAUGGCUGUCGUCAGCUCGUGUUGUGAAAUGUUGGGUUAAGUCCCGCAACGAGCGCAACCCUUAUCCUUUGUUGCCAGCGGUUAGGCCGGGAACUCAAAGGAGACUGCCAGUGAUAAACUGGAGGAAGGUGGGGAUGACGUCAAGUCAUCAUGGCCCUUACGACCAGGGCUACACACGUGCUACAAUGGCAUAUACAAAGAGAAGCGACCUCGCGAGAGCAAGCGGACCUCAUAAAGUAUGUCGUAGUCCGGAUUGGAGUCUGCAACUCGACUCCAUGAAGUCGGAAUCGCUAGUAAUCGUAGAUCAGAAUGCUACGGUGAAUACGUUCCCGGGCCUUGUACACACCGCCCGUCACACCAUGGGAGUGGGUUGCAAAAGAAGUAGGUAGCUUAACCUUCGGGAGGGCGCUACC